Molecule: ribosomal RNA, 731 nt
Filed under: uncultured euryarchaeote
Lineage: Archaea; Methanobacteriati; Methanobacteriota
Description: bacterial SSU rRNA
Rfam family: Archaeal small subunit ribosomal RNA
Source: RNAcentral
CCCUCGGGAAACUGAGGUUAAUAUCUGAUAGGAGAUUUAUACUGGAAAGAUUAAUCUUUAAAAUUCGAGCCUAAGGAUGGGGCUGCGGUGGAUUAGGUUGUUGGCGGGGUAAUAGCCCACCAAGCCUUUGAUCCAUAGGGGCUCUUAGCGGAGAAGCCCCGAGAGGGAAUCUGAGACACUAUUCCCAGCCCUACGGGGUGCAGCAGUUAGGAAUAUUCUGCAAUGCGCGUAAGCGUGACAGAUUGAGUCAGAGUGCGCUUCAAUUUGGAGUGCUUUUGCUAAAUGUAAAAAGUUUGGCGAAUAAGGACUGGGUAAGACGAGUGCCAGCCGCCGCGGUAAUACUCGCGGUCCAAGUCGCAGCCAUUUUUAUUGGGUCUAAAACAUCCGUAGCUUGCUUGGUGAGUUCCUUGUGAAAUUCUAUAUCUCAAAUAUGGAGCGUGCAGGGGGUACUGCCAAGCUAGAGACUGGAAGACGUAACGAGUACGUUUGGAGUAGCGGUAAAAUGUGUUAAUCCCGGACGGACUAACAAUAGCGAAGGCACGUUACGAGGACAGUUCUGACAGUAAGGGAUGAAGGCUAGGGGCGCAAAACGGAUUAGAUACCCGUGUAGUCCUAGCAGUAAACACUGCACACUAAACAUUAGCACCUCCUCGAGAGGUAUUGGUGCUGAAGGGAAGCCGAAGAGUGUGCUACCUGGGAAGUAUAGUCGCAAGGCCGAAACUUAAAGGAAU